CCUACGGGAGGCAGCAGUGAGGAAUAUUGGUCAAUGGGCGAGAGCCUGAACCAGCCAAGUCGCGUGAGGGAGUACUGCCCUAGGGGUUGUAAACCUCUUUUUUCGGGAAGCAAAUGCCGGACUCUUCCGGCUAUGCAAGUACCAGAAGAAAACCCACAGGCUAACUCCGUGCGAGCAGCCGCGGUAUUCCGGGGGAUUCGAGGGUUAUCCGGAUUGCUGGGGUUUAAGGGGUGCGCAGGCGGAUUGUUAAGGCAGCGGUCAAAUCGUGGGGCUCAACCCCAUCCAGCCGUUGAAACUGGGGAUCUAGAGUGUGCGAGAGGUAUGCGGAAUGCGUGGUGUAGCGGUGAAAUGCAUAGAUAUCACGCAGAACCCUGAUUGCGAAGGCGGCAUACCGGUGCACAACUGACGCUCAGGCACGAAAGCGUGGAUAUCGAACAGGAUUAGAUACCCCUGUAGUC
Molecule: ribosomal RNA, 458 nt
Filed under: uncultured bacterium
Lineage: Bacteria
Description: partial 16S ribosomal RNA
Rfam family: Bacterial small subunit ribosomal RNA
Source: RNAcentral